Exaiptasia diaphana is the source of this 3488-nucleotide long non-coding RNA. RefSeq lists it as uncharacterized. Lineage: Eukaryota; Metazoa; Cnidaria; Anthozoa; Actiniaria; Aiptasiidae. The record is from RefSeq and is a predicted model, not a curated record. The transcript is spliced from 3 exons.
AAACCUUAAAAAAAAAUAAACGCGUUUAAGUAAAUGCAAUGGUGUAAAAGUGACUUGAYGGUAUAAAAUGCUCGCUAUUGGCAUUUACAUUCGUCCUCGAGGUCUAAUUCAUAAAUUACAUGAACUGUUCACUAAAAGUCACUCAUGGUAGGGAAUUAAGCAAAAAGCACUAAACAUUUUGUAUAAACCGCAUAACAAUCGAAUAAAAUGAAAAUGAAAACAAGCAAACCGCAAACUAUGAAGAUCUAAAAGACCGUAAACUUGAACCCAAGUGAAAAAACGUAAAAAUAAAACCUAAAUCACGUAAAUGCAAACCUUACGACUCCUCCUGAGGGCUAUUCGAUGAAUGUACUAAGACGUUGUACGUUGUAAAUACAGUCGUGAAAUGUUAAUCAUUAUUUGAUUGUUUAUUAUUAGUUGAUCAUAAUUUAUUCAUAAAAAAUAUAUUUCCAUGUCAUUACUCACAUUUUACUUCCGGUUUGCAAACUUUGCAGGUCAAGCGACAGUUCUCGGACAUCCUUCUGUUGGAGCUGCAAAGACGUUGAAAUUUCUUGCAUGUUCGUGUCCCAAACUUGUCUUCGCCUUCAUUGAAAAACGAAAAAGCGUCAUUAUAUCUGCGUCUUAAACAGAUUGAUUGUCAGCAAGUAGAUGGAGACAUCAUCCGGGACGUCAAUCAUUGCAGACGUCACUACAGCAAGGGAAACAACAAUUACCAAGAAAAUACCUUUAGACAUCUUGCUUGGAUCUGAUAGAAAAUAAAGAAAGAAAUUAUGAUAUUCUGAAAAAAUACUAGUCAUUUCAUAUAACAUAUCUAACUUGUAGAUAGAAUAUUGUAUGGAAGAUCCAUAGAAAAAUUUCUCAGGCAUCAGAAAAUAGCAUUACAGGGCUGGGAACAUGGAUAAUGACGGCUUUAAAAUUUGGCGUUACCGUUAUGAUAGAUAACAUUAACAUUUUUCUGGCAAAACCUGAUCAACAACCAAGAGAAAAACAUGAAAAAAGAAUCAAGAUUAUUAAAUAUAUCCUAGUCUCACCUUAUUCUAACCAGUCUAAGUUUCACAAUCGCAGGUUAGAGACCGACUCCCUUCUAUUUAUGUCCSCGACAUGUGUCAACGUAACAAGGGCGUUAACCGGAAUCAAAGUUGACUUUUUAUAAAAACCGAAACGAAACUGAAAUGASUGAAUAGCAAUUGUAAGAAAUGACAUUGUAGUUAGAUUUUCUGGCAAARAUAGGUCUAAAAUAAUAAAUCUUUUCAACAAUGUGAUCGCCAAAUUUKUUUCUAGAAAUUGAAAACACUGACCAUAAAAAUGUGUGUUGGUUAUGAUAAAAACCACUUGGCAGACAACCUACCAAAAAUGGCAAGACUGUCAAGGGUUGAAUCUUUACUUAUUUACCAUAAAUACUGAGUCAGAUCCCCAUUAUCACAUUGAUAAAACCGACAACUGGCGUAGUAUUACGUACAUGUUCACCAUCGAAGUUUAUGACGUCAGGUGGUUCUGCUGAUGCCAGCGUCUUUCUGUCGCCAGCGGCUCUACUUUUGUGGGGUACAGGUAUAGUAUUGAGUCAUUAGAAAUCAUAUCAAAAAAAAUAUUCGUUUUUAGGCCGUAUGAGCUUAUAAGUUUAUGAUAGUUUCGAUUGAAAUAUAUUAGUUUGUUAGUUUGGCUGUUUUGAGAGCUACUGGAAUAAGGCAUUGCUCUCAGUUUUUGAGUAGGGUAGUAGUAGAAUCCAUAGGCUAACAUCCGUCAGAGAAAAAAAGGAGUUACACUUAGCUUUAUAGGAGAAAUUUACAUGAAAUACUCAGUGCUAAAUCUGUAAUAGAAACGGAAGUCUUUUGUCUGAAAGCGCUCCUUUUAUAGAUUUAAAAAGAAAAAAUUCGUGGCGCUUUCAAUGCAAUAACGAAAGUACUUGGUAACGUACUGACAGGACGCUGAACAGGAUACGCAAAAAGCUAAACCCAAGACCGCUCGUCACAUAGACCAUCUUUUCGAUUAUGCUGAUCGAUCUGGACUCUUACCUGAGUGAAGUGCCCUGUUUUAUGGUUAAAUCCAGGAUGUGAGAAAUCAUAAUCUUUGACUUCAUCAUACCUAUCAAUAAAAGCUCACUAUUAGCUCAGGCCACGUCGGUCUGUAUUUGCACAGGGAUCCCAAUCACUUACCACAACUUCGUCGCCCCCGCGCAAUCUAACUUGGCUCCCAUUGAAGAUGCCAAAUUCUCUCCUUCAUUUUUAACUGUUAGUUCUUUUUGGUCAUGCCUAAAUGCAUGUUCCGCUGCUAGUUUGUUGGCGUAGUUCUGUGCAUCAUUGGCUAAUUCUGUAUCCCAUAUUAGGGGUGGUGCUCCAUGGCGUCUGCGAUAUUCAUUAUGGGCAGCAAGACACCUCCUUAUGUUGACCGACUCUACACGAUAAAAACAUUCCAUCAAUAAAUAUUUGACCGAUUAUCUAUCGAUUAAUUAUCGAUUUAUGAUGUUUAAAUAUAGUUGUUUUGCAAAUGUGACAAUUGUAAGUAUUAGCAAGUAAACACUAAUAUGGAUAAGAUGAUAAAUGAAAUAUCUUUACAGAAAGUAUAAAAAAGUGUUCCGGAAUUUUAUCAAUUAAUCCGCGCACGAAACUAACAUCAUCCCUCAUCUAUUUUACAAUCUAUCAGGGUAUCUUAAAGAAAACAAUUUAUCCACUUAAUAGCUUGAAUUAUAGCUAAUUAUUGACAUUCAUCAUGUCUGUUAACAGUUAAGUUCUCACCAGGUCUUCGUUUAAARAGAAAUGGUUCAUCRUCGACAGCGUCCCAGUCAACAAUGGCUGCCGUCACUACACCAAGAAAUGCAACUAACACCACGAGGAUAACUUUAGACAUCUUUUAAUCUAAACAGGAAAUAAUUAUAUUUGAAUUGGCUGAAUUGAACGGUUAGAGUCAGUUGUGCAUUUAGUUACAAAACUAUGUYAAUGAAGGUUACCGCUAAAUAUAUAAUUACUAUCAUGUCAUAUGUUGGAAAGAAAAAUAUACUACAUCGAUUAUGAGACUCUGCAUUUACCCAGAGAAUAUUUUAUCUAGUCCACGCCCAGGCUGAACUCCAACAGAGGCAAAGUUACCGCCAAAAUGAAACGGACUGAAAACGGAACCGUUUCCCGCCAAAACUCAAACCAGAGAUUUUUUAACAAAGCRAUCUAACGUAAAAUCACAGGAGUAUCUUAUAUUAAAGCAAAACAAAUGACAAACAACUGAUUUCAUGGUUAAAAUGCUGCUAUUUCAGUAUAGCAUGACGCUCCUCUUAGACUGUAUCCAUUUAGUUUCCGAAAGCUGACCGAUGAGGUGUGUAACCGCACUUUCUACAUGUAGAAUCAUGAAUUAUCAAUAAUCACGGAUAUUAUCAACAUGAGAAGUAUUUGACUAUCAAAACUAUAACAAAUAUAACAUGAAAUUCUGACCUGCGUCUUGUUUAUAUCUGCAGUGAUUCUGGUAGUCUGCGUCAAGAGAGGUACAAUCUUUGACUGACUGUU